CCUGGCUCAGGAUGAACGCUAGCGGCAGGCUUAACACAUGCAAGUCGAGGGGCAGCGCGGGUAGCAAUACCUGGCGGCGACCGGCGAAAGGGUGAGUAACGCGUGAGCAACAUGCCCGAUACUGGGGGAUAGUCGAUGGAAACGUCGCGUAAUACCCCGUAACACAUUCUCUCGCAUGGGGGGAUGUUGAAAGAUUGAUUGGUAUCGGAUUGGCUCGCGUGCCAUUAGGUAGACGGCGGGGUAACGGCCCACCGUGCCGACGAUGGCUAGGGGUUCUGAGAGGAAGGUCCCCCACAUUGGAACUGAGACACGGUCCAGACUCCUACGGGAGGCAGCAGUGAGGAAUAUUGGACAAUGGCCGGAAGGCUGAUCCAGCCAUGCCGCGUGCGGGAUGACGGCCCCUAUGGGUUGUAAACCGCUUUUGCGGGGGAGCAAUAAGAGCAACGUGUUGCUCGAUGAGAGUACCCUGCGAAUAAGCAUCGGCUAACUCCGUGCCAGCAGCUGC
RNAcentral lists this ribosomal RNA (505 nucleotides) under uncultured bacterium. RNAcentral describes it as "bacterial SSU rRNA". It matches the Rfam family "Bacterial small subunit ribosomal RNA", at positions 18 to 518 of the family's 1533-position model. The record is from RNAcentral.